This 820-nucleotide long non-coding RNA is filed under the name Homo sapiens (human). RNAcentral describes it as "HSALNT0191743". Lineage: Eukaryota; Metazoa; Chordata; Mammalia; Primates; Hominidae. The record is from RNAcentral.
GUUCUCUAGAGGUUUUGACUCACUACUCUCUGUCUCUCACCCAGGGAUUGAGUCUCAGCUAAAUCCCUUUUCCAUCAGUCACCAAAGAUGCCCAUUCACUAAAUUAUGCAUACAUGUUUUUUUGCCCAGCGAGGCCAGAUCUAUUUGCUCUUAUAGAAAAAUAAAGCAUUUUUGCUGUUUUCCUUUUGUUUCUGCAAGCUUUUAGUCCAUGGUGACAUCAUGGAAGCUUAAAACUUGAGAAGCCUACUCUCACAGCCCAUGGACAGCCUUUCCUCACCCCAACCCCAUCUAUAAUCACCACACUUUGGUCCAACUGCAACUGCUCUGUGUGGCAUCAAGUUCUACAGAACCCUGAGAUCUCCAUGUGGAGGAGCCCAAACUGGCAUGCUGAAAGAUGAAAGGAGAAAGUAUGAAGUGUCCCUGCCAGCCAGCUCCUAACCAACAACCUGCCAACGGCCGGACAUGUGAGCAAGGCCAUCCUAGACCAUCCAGCUUCCAGUCAAAUCUCCAGCUGACCACAGACAAUAUAAGCAAGCCCAGCAAAGAACAGGAAAGCAAACCUAGAGAAAAGCUACACAACCAGCCUGCAGAAUUAUGAGUGAAAUAAGUACUUGCUGUUUUAACCAGCUAAAUUUGUUAUGCAGCAAUAGCUAGCUGAUAUUGCACUCAGUAAAUAAUUAUUAAUUCAGAUUUCUCAGAAUGAGUAUGAAAAUGAAAAAGUAAUUAUGUAUAUUUAGAACAAAGCAAAGAGAAAUCUGCUAAAUAGAAUAGAAACUGGCAGACAUAAGGCUGAUUUUUCUUCUUGAAUUAAAAUAAAUAA